GAGAAGGUGGGUAUGUAUAGCAUAUCAUUUGACGUUAGCUGCAGAAGAAGCACCGGCUAACUCCGUGCCAGCAGCCGCGGUAAUACGGAGGGUGCGAGCGUUAAUCGGAAUUACUGGGCGUAAAGCGCAUGCAGGUGGUUGUUAAGUCAGAUGUGAAAGCCCGGGGCUCAACCUCGGAAUUGCUAUUGAAACUGGCAAACUAGAGUACUGUAGAGGGGGUAGAAUUUCAGGUGUAGCGGUGAAAUGCGUAGAGAUCUGAAGGAAUACCGGUGGCGAAGGCGGCCCCCUGGACAGAUACUGACACUCAGAUGCGAAAGCGUGGGGAGCAAACAGGAUUAUAUACCCUGGUAG
Molecule: ribosomal RNA, 351 nt
Filed under: uncultured bacterium
Lineage: Bacteria
Description: bacterial SSU rRNA
Rfam family: Bacterial small subunit ribosomal RNA
Source: RNAcentral